AGCGAUCUGGAAUGUAAAACCAAGUAUAACAAAGGGGCUACUAGGGAUGACUAGGCAAUGGAUCGGAAUGAGGUCUAAUCCAAACUGUCGAAUCCGAUCAAGGGUAUGUUAAUCAACCCGGUCUCGACGAUCAAGGCCAAAAGGUGCCUCACUUACCUUGGGAACUGAAACAUCUUAUGUACCAAGAGGAAAGGAAAUCAACCGAGACUCUACAAGUAGUGGCGAGCGAACGUAGACAAGCUAUCUCUAUCAACUUAGACAACCUCUAUGGUCGAUUAUGAUUCGUAGCAGGAAAAUGGUAGCCUUCGGACAAAGACAUAAACAAUAGCUUGGAAUAGCUAGCCACAGAUGGUGAUAGCCCAGUGAUGAUAUGACUUUGCUCCCUUUUGGCAGUGAAUUUAAUUCCUUAGAGAGAAUUGGCGGCUUGUCAAGCUGCUUUUAUAAUACCCUGUCUAUUAAGGCAGGAAAGGUGUACCAUCAUCAAAGCUAAGUAUGUUCCAUUGACCGAUAGUGCAGAGUACCGUGAGGGAAUGUUGAAAAAGCAGGUAGUAAACUGGUGAAAAGCCUGAACUAGUGGCUCCAUAAGCAGCUGGAAUCACAACAGCCAUUGACUCCAACUCAAUGUGUGAUGACAGCGUACCUUUUGUAUAAUGGGUUACCAACCAUCAGACCCGAACCCAGGUGAUCUUGCCAUGGCCAAGUGCUAUUUAAUAAGACUGAACGGGUGUCCGUUGCAAGGGACUCCGAAGAGCUGUGGCAAGGGGUGAAAAGCCAAUCUAACCUGGAGAUAGCUGGUCUUCUGCGAAACCCGUUUUAGCGGGUCGCCCAUUUAUUGAAAUUAAAUUCGUUACUAGACGGUACGGCACUGGAAGCCACGCAGCUUUUGCUGCAUAAUCGGGGGGCUGUCAUGGCUCUAUCGAUGGCUUCUAACCCCGGAAAUGUAUAGUAUACAAUGAUGGGCAAUCAGACGUAUCGUGAUAAGGCGAUUCGUCAAAAGGGCAACAGCCCAGAACAGGUGUGAAGGUCCCUAACAAGCUACUGAGUGAACACAAGGCAGUCCUCUCCAGUGUCUCUCCACAAAGUGGGCUUGGAAGCAGCCACCUUUUAGCGAUAGCGUAACAGCUCAGUGGUCUGAGCCUCCCUGUAAAAAGGGAAUAUUGCCUGGUGAGGGCGCCAAAAAUGUAACGGGUCUAUAGUAGUUGUCUCUCUGUUCCAGCUUUGGAUAUGGAGGGAGUGGCAGUUUCUUCACUGUCUCACCGAAACCCUGUCCUAGAUGUAAAAUUCUAGGGGUAGCAGAAUACCCAGCAAAUGGAAUGAAGCUUGCUCAUUGAGCCGGUGGACAUAGCUGGGCUAAGAAUGCUGACAUGAGUAGCCUAAAAGGAGGGUAAUUCCCUCUUCGCCGAAAGCAGAAGGGUUUCAUUUGUAAGGUCUAUACCUAGAUGAUUAAAGCAGCGGCCUCUAAGGUUCAGAGUAACAAAUUAGUUCCGAUGAGUAACUCUUCUAUAGGGCAGUAACCUUCCUUAUAAGUUUACCUUCAAGUAAUUAGAGGUAUACUUCAAAGAGUAAGGUUCGGGAAAGAGCCCUACAGAAUAAAUCUUAAAACCGUACCCUAAACCGACACAGGUCUGCAAGUAGAGCAUACUAAGGCGUAGAGAUAAUCGUCUUGAAGGAACUCGGCAAAAUGACCCCGUAACUUCGGGAGAAGGGGUGCCACUAAUAAGUGGCGGCACUAAACAGGGGGGCGCGACUGUUUACUUAAAACACCGGACUCUGCUAACACUAGCGUGGAUGUAUAGAGUCUGAUACCUGCCCGAUGCUAGAUGAUCAACUAAGCCGUUAUAUGAUGGCAAAGGAAGCUCUAGUCAAUGGCGGCUGUAACCUUGACGGUCCUAAGGUAGCGAAAUUCCUUGGCAUUUAAAUGAUGUCCCGCAUGAAAGGUUUAACGAAGCUCCCACUGUCUCCAAGACGAGCUCGGCGAAAUUGAAUUAUCCGUGAAGAUGCGGAUUACCUCCAGCUAGACGAGAAGACCCUUUGAAGCUUGACUGCAACUAGUUAGUGUGUAACCGCUACUAAGGUACAAAGGGAGUCGACUAGACGAGAUACCUUGAUCUUUGUAGUAGGUUUCACUAUAAAUGCUGGCUAGUAGGCAGUUUGUCUGGGGCGGCAAUCCUCACCUAAAGUAACUGAGGAGUCCGAAGGUGUGCUUUGCUAGGUUGGAAACCUCUCUAUGGCUAUGGUGAGCCUAAAUAAGCGCAAUGGUAUAAGCAUGCUUGACUGUGAGACCUACAAGUCUAUCAGGUAAAACCCUUUCUAUUUACCCCUUCAUAAAUCAGGUCUCUCACGGCUAAAGUUAACCUUACCUUCUUUCUUAUUUCAUCACUUGUUAGCCUUGGUUCACAGUGCAGCGCACUUGUGGAACAAGUUUGUUUUGUUUAAAGUAGUAAAGGAAUGGAAGAAGGGGUAAUUAGGUAUAAAGGGUAUAGGUAACUAGGGCAUAGUGACCCGGUGAUACAUCAUGGAAUGUUCAUCGAUCAACGGAUAAAAGCUACUCAAGGGAUAACAGGCUGAUCCUCCACGAGAGUCCAUAUUGACUGGGGGGGUUGGCACCUCGAUGUCGGCUCAUCCUAUCCUAGAGCAGUAUAAGGUUCUAAGGGUUCGGCUGUUCGCCGAGUAAAAGGGUACGUGAGCUGGGUUAAGUACGACGCGAGUCAGUACGGCUUCUAUCUACUGGAGGGAGUUGGAAGUAAGGAGGAAGCUAUUUUUAGUACGCGAGGACUUAAAUGGAGUGACCUCUGGUUUACCAGUUAUCAACAGCUAAUAAAGCUAUGGUAUGGCUGGAAAGCUACGUCACGAAUAGAUAACUGCUGAAACCAUAUCAAGCAGGAAACUACUCCUCUAUACUUCCUUUGAAACUUAGGGUAGACCACCCUAUUGAUAGGGCCUGGGUGUAAUAGCAGCAAUGCUUUUAGCCUCGGGUUACUAAUUGUUAAGCAACUUGGUUUUACCAGAUCGUU
RNAcentral lists this ribosomal RNA (3014 nucleotides) under Glomus sp. DAOM 240422. Its description in RNAcentral is "large subunit ribosomal RNA". It matches the Rfam family "Bacterial large subunit ribosomal RNA". The record is from RNAcentral. Lineage: Eukaryota; Fungi; Glomeromycota; Glomeromycetes; Glomerales; Glomeraceae.